This 188-nucleotide unclassified non-coding RNA is filed under the name soil metagenome. RNAcentral's name for it is "partial internal transcribed spacer 1". The record is from RNAcentral.
CAGAGUUGCAAAACUCCCACAAACCAUCGCGAAUCUUACCCGUACGGUUGCCUCGGCGCUGGCGGUCCGGAAGGCCCUCGGGCCCCCCGGAUCCUCGGGUCUCCCGCUCGCGGGAGGCUGCCCGCCGGAGUGCCGAAACCAAACUCUUGAUAUUUUAUGUCUCUCUGAGCAAACUUUUAAAUAAGUCA